GGGCCCGCACAAGCGGUGGAGCAUGUGGUUCAAUUCGACGCAACGCGAAGAACCUUACCCAGGCUUGAACUGCGAGUGACAUCCUACGAAAGUAGGCUUCCGCAAGGACACUCGUAGAGGUGCUGCAUGGCUGUCGUCAGCUCGUGUCGUGAGAUGUUGGGUUAAGUCCCGCAACGAGCGCAACCCUUGUCUUCUGUUGCCAUCGGGUUAUGCCGGGCACUCUGAAGAGACUGCCGGUGACAAACCGGAGGAAGGUGGGGAUGACGUCAAGUCAGCAUGGCCUUUAUGUCUGGGGCCACACACGUGCUACAAUGGCCGGUACAAACCGUCGCGAUCUCGCGAGAGGGAGCUAAUCGGAGAAAGCCGGUCUCAGUUCGGAUUGUAGGCUGCAACUCGCCUGCAUGAAGUUGGAAUCGCUAGUAAUCGCGGAUCAGCACGCCGCGGUGAAUACGUUCCCGGGCCUU
Molecule: ribosomal RNA, 464 nt
Filed under: uncultured bacterium
Lineage: Bacteria
Description: bacterial SSU rRNA
Rfam family: Bacterial small subunit ribosomal RNA
Source: RNAcentral